UGAGCUCAAGCUUAAAAUCUCCAUGCAAAUUUUGCAUGGCGAAUUGUAGUCUAUAGAGGCGUGAUUAGCGUAAGCACUUGGGGCAAGUUCCUUGGAAGAGGACAGCAUCGAGGGUGAUACUCCCGUUUAUCCCCGAGUUGCUUAUGCGUACAAUCCGUUUUCUUUGAGUCGCGUUGUUUGAGAAUGCAGCGCAAAGUAGGUGGUAAAUUCCAUCUAAAGCUAAAUAUUGGUGCGAGACCGAUAGCAAACAAGUACCGUGAGGGAAAGAUGAAAAGAACUCUGAAAAGAGAGUUAAAGAGUACCUGAAACUGCUGAAAGGUAACCAAAUCGUUUCCAGUGUCUAUAAUCCGUGGUAUAUUUCAUUGGCGGAUGUGUGCAUGCAUGUACUAUGGCAGCGGCUUUUUGCUGCGCCUUGUGCGUGUGUUGCACUUCCUCGCUGAUGCCCUGUACCAUGGUGGGACGUCAAGGUCGGUUCGUAAAUUGCGGGAAAUGACUGCCGAGGAGGUAGGGCGAACGCUUGCGUUUGUCUGUUAUAUCUUGGCGGACGUAGUAGUCGCGGUUGGGACUGAGGUGCCUACAAUGUGCUUAUGAGUGGAAUUGAUUCUUCGUAUGCGCCGUGUGCGGAUAGCUUGCUAUGCGUGUGUGGCUGCGUGUGGAU
RNAcentral lists this ribosomal RNA (658 nucleotides) under Bremia lactucae (lettuce downy mildew). RNAcentral describes it as "LSU rRNA". It matches the Rfam family "Eukaryotic large subunit ribosomal RNA", at positions 104 to 634 of the family's 3401-position model. The record is from RNAcentral. Lineage: Eukaryota; Oomycota; Peronosporomycetes; Peronosporales; Peronosporaceae.